UUUGGAUAGGCUUUAAGCAACCACCAGCCAUCUACUCCUUAUGCUGCCCAAAUUUUCUGAUUUUAUUAUGAUUUCCAUAGUAAAAGAAGGAAAGGAGGCAUGGUUAAUUAGAGAAGAAGAAUUUCUUCCUUCCUGGGUCUACAAAAUCUGCAAAAUAAAGUAAAGUUUCGGCUGCCCAAAUCAAGUUUUCCAAGAAUUGGUUCCAAUUCUUUCUAAGUUUGCUCCUCAUGUAGAAUUAGUUUGGACUCUGAUUUUCUUCCAUUUAAUUCUUUCCAAGAUAUCUCUUUGCCACCCAAAAUUGGUUGCCAUAUCAGAUCUUUGUGCCAAGAAACACUAAGAAGAAUCUGGGUGUAUCUUGUUGUGUCCAACAUUGUUACCAACUUCAACCUACUGUAGCCACCUCAUCUGGAAUCCAAAUUCAAUUCUGUAAAUUAUGUUCCUUUCUUGCUUCUCUCAAAAUUCUGUAGGAUCUAAUCUUGCUUAAUUUGGAGUCCUGUAGCUUACCUUUUAGGGGUCCUCACAUCAAAAUAUCCAGAAUUUAGAUUAGUUGACUAGAUGGGAGAGAUUAACUGCUUGAUUUAUUUCCUGCACCUCUAGUUUCUUUUCUGGCUGAUG
Molecule: long non-coding RNA, 615 nt
Filed under: Elaeis guineensis (African oil palm)
Lineage: Eukaryota; Viridiplantae; Streptophyta; Magnoliopsida; Arecales; Arecaceae
Description: long non-coding RNA (EGUI_LNC072543)
Source: RNAcentral